AUUCAUAUAUAUAUAUAUGAAUGAACACACACAGACAUAUGUAUAUGUAUAUGUAUAUGUAUAUGUAUAUGUAUAUGUAU
This is a non-coding RNA of Podarcis lilfordi (Lilford's wall lizard), 80 nucleotides long. Lineage: Eukaryota; Metazoa; Chordata; Lepidosauria; Squamata; Lacertidae. The record is from the annotation of a GenBank genome assembly.